GACGAACGCUGGCGGCGUGCUUAACACAUGCAAGUCGAACGGAAAGGCCCUGCUUUUGUGGGGUGCUCGAGUGGCGAACGGGUGAGUAACACGUGAGUAACCUGCCCUUGACUUUGGGAUAACUUCAGGAAACUGGGGCUAAUACCGGAUAGGAGCUCCUGCUGCAUGGUGGGGGUUGGAAAGUUUCGGCGGUUGGGGAUGGACUCGCGGCUUAUCAGCUUGUUGGUGGGGUAGUGGCUUACCAAGGCUUUGACGGGUAGCCGGCCUGAGAGGGUGACCGGCCACAUUGGGACUGAGAUACGGCCCAGACUGCUACGGGGGGCAGCAGUGGGGAAUAUUGCACAAUGGGCGGAAGCCUGAUGCAGCAACGCCGCGUGCGGGAUGACGGCCUUCGGGUUGUAAACCGCUUUCGCCUGUGACGAAGCGUGAGUGACGGUAAUGGGUAAAGAAGCACCGGCUAACUACGUG
This 468-nucleotide ribosomal RNA is filed under the name uncultured bacterium. RNAcentral describes it as "partial 16S ribosomal RNA". It matches the Rfam family "Bacterial small subunit ribosomal RNA", at positions 28 to 507 of the family's 1533-position model. The record is from RNAcentral.